RNAcentral lists this transfer RNA (67 nucleotides) under Panchlora nivea. RNAcentral's name for it is "tRNA-Phe". It matches the Rfam family "tRNA". From Rfam's summary of the family: Transfer RNA (tRNA) molecules are approximately 80 nucleotides in length. Their secondary structure includes four short double-helical elements and three loops (D, anti-codon, and T loops). Further hydrogen bonds mediate the characteristic L-shaped molecular structure. tRNAs have two regions of fundamental functional importance: the anti-codon, which is responsible for specific mRNA codon recognition, and the 3' end, to which the tRNAs corresponding amino acid is attached (by aminoacyl-tRNA synthetases). tRNAs cope with the degeneracy of the genetic code in two manners: having more than one tRNA (with a specific anti-codon) for a particular amino acid; and 'wobble' base-pairing, i.e. permitting non-standard base-pairing at the 3rd anti-codon position. Lineage: Eukaryota; Metazoa; Arthropoda; Insecta; Blattodea; Blaberidae. The record is from RNAcentral.
AUUUAGAUAGCUUAAAACUAAGAGCGUAGCACUGAAGAUGCUAAAGUGAUAAAUUUAUCUUUAAAUA